Acanthosepion pharaonis is the source of this 113-nucleotide non-coding RNA. The record is from the annotation of a GenBank genome assembly. Lineage: Eukaryota; Metazoa; Mollusca; Cephalopoda; Sepiida; Sepiidae.
UACGGCUACAUCACGUUGAAUCACCGGUUCUAGUAUGAUCACUGAAGUUAAACAACGUUGAAUCUGGUCAUUACCAAGAUGGGUGACUGCUUGGGAAUAUCAGGUGCUGUAAG